This is a long non-coding RNA of Equus caballus (horse), 441 nucleotides long. NCBI's taxonomy places the organism in Eukaryota, Metazoa, Chordata, Mammalia, Perissodactyla, Equidae. The record is from Ensembl.
CCUCGAAGCUCUUGUGGCAGGAAGUGGGAGGGCGACCCUAGGAGUCGAUCCUUCCUGCUGACCUCGUCCCAGGACCUGGAAGGGGCCUCAGACGGCCCCCUGGACCCCACUCUACAGGCAUCUUCCCACGCGGCUUCUCGGGCUUCCUCACGCGCCGGGGGCUCAUCCCAGCCCGGGCUGCCAGGCGGAGAAGGCAGCCGCUUCCAGUGCUCUCGAGGGCCUGACUCCGAAGGCCCACACAUUUCUUCUGCAUGGCGUGCCAAGUGGUGCCAUGUCCGCAUCCAGGAUCCGAACCUGCGAACCGGGGCCGAGAGAGAAGCUCAACGUGGGAACCUAACCACUGCGCCACCUGCGGGCUACCCACCAACGUUGUUUAUACUUGAGCACCUACCUGCCUUUGAAUAUGUUUUAAAAUAAAAUAGAUUAGACAAAUCAGAAAAA